GAUGUGAAAUCCUAUGGCUCAACCAUAGAACUGCAUCCAAAACUGAGGGGCUAGAGUCUGGGAGGGGAAGAUGGAAUUAGUGGUGUAGGGGUAAAAUCCGUAGAGAUCACUAGGAAUACCAAAAGCGAAGGCGAUCUUCUGGAACAGUACUGACGCUGAGGCGCGAAAGCGUGGGGAGCAAACAGGAUUAGAUACCCUGGUAGUCCACGCCCUAAACUAUGAAUGUUAGUCGUCGGGAGGCUCGUCCUCUCGGUGAUGCAGCUAACGCAUUAAACAUUCCGCCUGGGGAGUACGGUCGCAAGAUUAAAACUCAAAGGAAUAGACGGGGACCCGCACAAGUGGUGGAGCAUGUGGUUUAAUUCGAAGAUACGCGAAGAACCUUACCUGGCCUUGACAUUGAUAGAAUCUGCUAGAGAUAGCGGAGUGCCCUUCGGGGAGCUUGAAAACAGGUGCUGCACGGCUGUCGUCAGCUCGUGUCGUGAGAUGUUGGGUUAAGUCCCGCAACGAGCGCAACCCUCGUCACUAGUUACUAACGGUUCGGCCGAGGACUCUAGUGAGACUGCCUUCGUAAGGAGGAGGAAGGUGAGGACGACGUCAAGUCAUCAUGGCCCUUACGGCCAGGGCGACACACGUGCUACAAUGGGAUGUACAAUGAGACGCAAUACCGCGAGGUGGAGCAAAUCUAUAAAGCAUCUCUCAGUUCGGAUUGUAGUCUGCAACUCGACUACAUGAAGCUGGAAUCACUAGUAAU
This 751-nucleotide ribosomal RNA is filed under the name uncultured Campylobacterota bacterium. RNAcentral describes it as "bacterial SSU rRNA". It matches the Rfam family "Bacterial small subunit ribosomal RNA", at positions 591 to 1342 of the family's 1533-position model. Lineage: Bacteria; Pseudomonadati; Campylobacterota. The record is from RNAcentral.